This 231-nucleotide long non-coding RNA is filed under the name Ananas comosus (pineapple). Its description in RNAcentral is "long non-coding RNA (ACOM_LNC037325)". Lineage: Eukaryota; Viridiplantae; Streptophyta; Magnoliopsida; Poales; Bromeliaceae. The record is from RNAcentral.
GCUAUGGUGCUUGUAAAAGCACCAAGCACUUGGUGCUUGUAAGUGUUUUAUCAUUAGAUCUACUCCUCGGAUCAUUUUCAACCAUUAGAUUAUACUAUUCAACCAACCACCCACUCAACCCUAGGGGGCCCACAUCAUCCUAACCGCAUAUCUCUUAAUCCAAUGGCUAAAAAUCUAUAAGCACCAAUAACUUGGUACUUUUAAAAGCAUAGGAGCUCAAUUAUAUAUAUA